CCUACGGGGUGCAGCAGUGAGGAAUAUUGGUCAAUGGACGAGAGUCUGAACCAGCCAAGUAGCGUGAAGGAUGACUGCCCUAUGGGUUGUAAACUUCUUUUAUAUAGGAAUAAAAUGUUCCACGUGUGGGAUUUUGUAUGUACCAUAUGAAUAAGGAUCGGCUAACUCCGUGCCAGCAGCCGCGGUAAUACGGAGGAUCCGAGCGUUAUCCGGAUUUAUUGGGUUUAAAGGGAGCGUAGGUGGAUUGUUAAGUCAGUUGUGAAAGUUUGCGGCUCAACCGUAAAAUUGCAGUUGAAACUGGCAGUCGUGAGUACAGUAGAGGUGGGCGGAAUUCGUGGUGUAGCGGUGAAAUGCUUAGAUAUCACGAAGAACUCCGAUUGCGAAGGCAGCUCACUGGACUGCAACUGACACUGAGGCUCGAAAGUGUGGGUAUCAAACAGGAUUAGAUACCCUUGUAGUC
Molecule: ribosomal RNA, 460 nt
Filed under: uncultured bacterium
Lineage: Bacteria
Description: partial 16S ribosomal RNA
Rfam family: Bacterial small subunit ribosomal RNA
Source: RNAcentral